GAUGAACGCUGGCGGCGUGCCUAAUACAUGCAAGUCGAGCGAACAGACGAGGAGCUUGCUCCUCUGACGUUAGCGGCGGACGGGUGAGUAACACGUGGAUAACCUACCUAUAAGACUGGGAUAACUUCGGGAAACCGGAGCUAAUACCGGAUAAUAUAUUGAACCGCAUGGUUCAAUAGUGAAAGACGGUUUUGCUGUCACUUAUAGAUGGAUCCGCGCCGCAUUAGCUAGUUGGUAAGGUAACGGCUUACCAAGGCAACGAUGCGUAGCCGACCUGAGAGGGUGAUCGGCCACACUGGAACUGAGACACGGUCCAGACUCCUGCGGGAGGCAGCAGUAGGGAAUCUUCCGCAAAGGGCGAAAGCCUGACGGAGCAACGCCGCGUGAGUGAUGAAGGUCUUCGGAUCGUAAAACUCUGUUAUUAGGGAAGAACAAAUGUGUAAGUAACUAUGCACGUCUUGACGGUACCUAAUCAGAAAGCCACGGCUAACUACGUG
RNAcentral lists this ribosomal RNA (497 nucleotides) under uncultured bacterium. RNAcentral describes it as "partial 16S ribosomal RNA". It matches the Rfam family "Bacterial small subunit ribosomal RNA", at positions 28 to 507 of the family's 1533-position model. The record is from RNAcentral.